ACACCGGCAGCUCUAGUGGUAGCAGUUUUUAUUGGGCCUAAAGCGUCCGUAGCCGGUUUAAUAAGUCUCUGGUGAAAUCCUGUAGCUUAACUGUGGGAAUUGCUGGAGAUACUAUUAGACUUGAGACCGGGAGAGGUUAGAGGUACUCCCAGGGUAGAGGUGAAAUUCUGUAAUCCUGGGAGGACCGCCUGUUGCGAAGGCGUCUAACUGGAACGGUUCUGACGGUGAGGGACGAAAGUUAGGGGCGCGAACCGGAUUAGAUACCCGGGUAGUCCUAACCGUAAACGAUGCGGACUUGGUGUUGGGGUGGCUUUGAGCUGCUCCAGUGCCGAAGGGAAGCUGUUAAGUCCGCCGCCUGGGAAGUACGGUCGCAAGACUGAUACUUAAAGGAAUUGGCGGG
RNAcentral lists this ribosomal RNA (400 nucleotides) under uncultured bacterium. Its description in RNAcentral is "partial 16S ribosomal RNA". It matches the Rfam family "Archaeal small subunit ribosomal RNA", at positions 473 to 872 of the family's 1478-position model. The record is from RNAcentral.